Molecule: transfer RNA, 71 nt
Filed under: Periophthalmus novemradiatus (dwarf Indian mudskipper)
Lineage: Eukaryota; Metazoa; Chordata; Actinopteri; Gobiiformes; Gobiidae
Description: tRNA-Trp
Rfam family: tRNA
About the family: Transfer RNA (tRNA) molecules are approximately 80 nucleotides in length.
Source: RNAcentral
AGAGACUUAGGAUAAUACUAGACCAAAGGCCUUCAAAGCCUUAAGUGGGAGUGAGAAUCUCCCAGCCUCUG